UCCAAGUAUAGAGAUGAUUCCAAAGUGGU
RNAcentral lists this non-coding RNA (29 nucleotides) under Homo sapiens (human). Lineage: Eukaryota; Metazoa; Chordata; Mammalia; Primates; Hominidae. The record is from RNAcentral.